Molecule: unclassified non-coding RNA, 188 nt
Filed under: Glomus sp.
Lineage: Eukaryota; Fungi; Glomeromycota; Glomeromycetes; Glomerales; Glomeraceae
Description: partial contains 5.8S ribosomal RNA and internal transcribed spacer 2
Rfam family: 5.8S ribosomal RNA (bases 1-65)
Source: RNAcentral
GUGAAUCAUCAAAUUUUUGAACGCAAAUUGCACUCUCUUCUGAUAGUAUGCCUGUUUGAGUGUCAGCCUAAAAAAAAUCGACAUAGUCUCUGUUUCUCGGUGACAUUCGUCGGUAAUUGGUUCAUCUUAAACCUUUGGGGUUGAAGCGGCUUAAAAUUUUCUUUACUAUUCCACUAACGUUUCUAGGA